RNAcentral lists this ribosomal RNA (553 nucleotides) under Cephenemyia stimulator. RNAcentral's name for it is "partial 16S ribosomal RNA". The record is from RNAcentral. Lineage: Eukaryota; Metazoa; Arthropoda; Insecta; Diptera; Oestridae.
CCGGUCUGAACUCAGAUCACGUAAGAUUUUAAAAGUCGAACAGACUUAAAAUUUAAGCAACUACACCUAAACUUAUAUCUUAAUCCAACAUCGAGGUCGCAAUCUUUUUUAUCGAUAUGAACCCUCCAAAAAAAUUACGCUGUUAUCCCUAAAGUAACUUAAAUUUUUAAUCGCUAAUAACGGAUCAAAUAACCAUAAAUCAAUGUAAAACUAAAUUAAAAGUUAUUCUAAUUUUAAUAUCACCCCAAUAAAAUAUUAAUUAUAAUUAUAAUAUAACAAAUCUACAAAAUUAUAAUAACUUAAAUAUAAAGAUUUAUAGGGUCUUCUCGUCUUUUAAAUAAAUUUUAGCUUUUUAACUAAAAAAUAAAAUUCUAUUAUAAAUUUUUAUGAAACAGUUAAUAUUUCGUCCAACCAUUCAUUCUAGCCUUCAAUUAAAAGACUAAUGAUUAUGCUACCUUUGCACAGUUAAUAUACUGCGGCCAUUUAAAUUAAAUCAGUGGGCAGGUUAAACUUUUUAAUAAUUCCAAAAAGACAUGUUUUUGUUAAACAGGCG